RNAcentral lists this RNase P RNA (401 nucleotides) under Alphaproteobacteria bacterium. Its description in RNAcentral is "RNase P RNA component class A". It matches the Rfam family "Bacterial RNase P class A". From Rfam's summary of the family: Ribonuclease P (RNase P) is a ubiquitous endoribonuclease, found in archaea, bacteria and eukarya as well as chloroplasts and mitochondria. Its best characterised activity is the generation of mature 5'-ends of tRNAs by cleaving the 5'-leader elements of precursor-tRNAs. Lineage: Bacteria; Pseudomonadati; Pseudomonadota; Alphaproteobacteria. The record is from RNAcentral.
GGAGGCAGUCGGAUAGCUGCGUCUCGGAACGGAAAAUCCGCAGAUGAGGAAAGUCCGGGCAUUACGGAAACAAGAUACCAGAUAACGUCUGGCUGGAGAAAUCCACGGGAAAGUGCCGCAGAAAAUUACCGCCGAACAAGUUUCGGUAAGGUUGAAAAGGCGAGGUAAGAGCUCAUCGCACGGGCAGUAAUGUUCGUGGCAAGGUAAACCCUAUCUGAUGCAAGACCAAAUAAGGAGGCUUUAGCAAUAGAGCAAGGAGAGUUUCCGCUCCGCUCCAGAGGUAGGUCGCACCAGUCAAGCGGUGACGCUUGAUGCAGAUGAAUAGCUAUCGCACAAAUCUUCAGCUGUUCGCAGAUGAAGCAAAUCGUGUACAGAACCCGGCUUAUAGAUUGCCUUCAACU